This 301-nucleotide ribosomal RNA is filed under the name uncultured bacterium. RNAcentral describes it as "partial 16S ribosomal RNA". It matches the Rfam family "Bacterial small subunit ribosomal RNA", at positions 509 to 809 of the family's 1533-position model. The record is from RNAcentral.
CAGCCGCCGCGGGAAUACGAAGGGGGCUAGCGUUGCUCGGAAUUACUGGGCGUAAAGGGCGCGUAGGCGGCGCUCCAAGUUAGGCGUGAAAUUCCCGGGCUCAACCUGGGGACUGCGCUUAAGACUGGAGUGCUUGAGGAUGGAAGAGGGUUGUGGAAUUCCCAGUGUAGAGGUGAAAUUCGUAGAUAUUGGGAAGAACACCGGUGGCGAAGGCGGCAACCUGGUCCAUUACUGACGCUGAGGCGCGAUAGCGUGGGGAGCAAACAGGAUUAGAUACCCCAGUAGUCCCUGUCUCUUAUAA